GUAACGGCGAGUGAAGCGGGAUGAGCUCAAAUUUGAAAUCUGGCUGGUUUACUAGUCCGAGUUGUAAUUUAAAGAAGCGUUUUCGGUGGCAGCCUGGGUAUAAAUCCUUUGGAAUAGGGUAUCAUAGAGGGUGAGAAUCCCGUCUUUGACCUAGUGCAUGCUACUAUGUGAUACGUUUUCAAAGAGUCGAGUUGUUUGGGAAUGCAGCUCAAAAUGGGUGGUAAAUUUCAUCUAAAGCUAAAUAUUGGCGAGAGACCGAUAGCGAACAAGUACCGUGAGGGAAAGAUGAAAAGAACUUUGAAAAGAGAGUUAAACAGUGCGUGAAAUUGUUGAAAGGGAAACGUUUGACACCAGUCAUGUGGGUGGAAAAUCAGUCUUUUGCAUUGGGGAGUUGUAAGGGUUCGGACCGCAAGGCCGGCUUUUGCUUCAUCUUUGGUGUAAGUGAUGCACUUUUUCAUCUACAGGUCAACAUCAGUUUCUUUUGCUGGACAAAACUCCGAGAGAAGGUAGCAGCUUAGGCUGUGUUAUAGCUCUGGAGCGAUACAGUGAAGGGGACUGAGGUUUUCGCAGCGUGUGCUCUCGGGCAAGGCUGGAUGGGUGCUAUGGGAUCGUUCGGGGUACAAUGCCUGGCAUUUUGCUUCGUGUCUUUUCUAUACUCGCUCAACUCAGCUCUUCCACGCUUAGGAUGUUGACUUAAUGGU
This 701-nucleotide ribosomal RNA is filed under the name Mortierella sp. RNAcentral's name for it is "LSU rRNA". It matches the Rfam family "Eukaryotic large subunit ribosomal RNA", at positions 83 to 638 of the family's 3401-position model. RNAcentral also lists the same sequence under 1 other name. Lineage: Eukaryota; Fungi; Mortierellomycota; Mortierellomycetes; Mortierellales; Mortierellaceae. The record is from RNAcentral.